CCUUCGGGUGACAGCAGUGGGGAAUAUUGCACAAUGGGGGAAACCCUGAUGCAGCACCGCCGCGUGAGGGAAGAAGGAUUUCGUUUUGUAAACUUCUAUCAUCAGGGAAGAAAAUGACGGUACCUGAGUAAUAAGCCCCGGCUAACUACGUGCCAGCAGCCGCGGUAAUACGUAGGGGGCAAGCGUUAUCCGGAUUUACUGGGUGUAAAGGGCGCGUAGCCGGGAGUGCAAGUCUGGAGUGAAAGGCGGGGGCUCAACCCCCGGACUGCACUGGAAACUGUCCUGCUGGAGUGCAGGAGAGGUAGGUGGAAUUCCUAGUGUAGCGGUGAAAUGCGUAGAUAUUAGGAGGAACACCAGUGGCGAAGGCGGCUUACUGGACUGUAACUGACGUUGAGGCUCGAAAGCGUGGGGAGCAAACAGGAUUAGAUACCCUGGUAGUC
RNAcentral lists this ribosomal RNA (440 nucleotides) under uncultured bacterium. RNAcentral describes it as "partial 16S ribosomal RNA". It matches the Rfam family "Bacterial small subunit ribosomal RNA", at positions 338 to 795 of the family's 1533-position model. The record is from RNAcentral.